Molecule: long non-coding RNA, 554 nt
Organism: Mus musculus (house mouse)
Lineage: Eukaryota; Metazoa; Chordata; Mammalia; Rodentia; Muridae
Product: predicted gene, 54242
Exons: 2
Source: RefSeq, a predicted model, not a curated record
GUUCAGAUAGAAUGGGAUUUAGCCCCAUGUGGGUCAGCGUGCCUGUUGCCUAGGAAAGGGCACCUUGGACGCCUCUCAGUUGGAAGAUAUUAUCUCCAGAUGGAGUCCUCUGCCUGCUGGCAAAGUCACCAGCAUUAUUUGUCAGCACAAAUUUGGAGGCAGAACCAACCCUCGUAAUAGCGUAUCUCAUGCUGCUAUCAAUUUUCCGCCAGAAGAACAUUUUGGGACACAAAGUCCUUUGUCUAUUUCCAGAAGCUCAAUUCAAUGACAUUACAUGAAUGACUACAACACUAUAGCAUGUUCUGCACCGUUUCAAAUUGUAACCUAAAAAAAGAGAAGAACUUGGAACUCCGCCAGAGCAUAAUGAUUUCAGCUCUUAAGAAAAUCCAGCAACCAUUCCGCUACUCUCAAUAUUUUCUUGCUGUGGAAAUUUAAGAAUAGGCUCUAAUCAAAUAGCACCCCCAUCCUCCAUUUUGCCAUGGUUCCUGUUACUAACCAGCCUCCCAUGUCUGUUUUAGGUUAAAAAAUAAAUAAGUUUACAAUACGUUUUUUUU